This 340-nucleotide ribosomal RNA is filed under the name uncultured Arthrobacter sp. Its description in RNAcentral is "bacterial SSU rRNA". It matches the Rfam family "Bacterial small subunit ribosomal RNA", at positions 388 to 740 of the family's 1533-position model. RNAcentral also lists the same sequence under 1 other name. Lineage: Bacteria; Bacillati; Actinomycetota; Actinomycetes; Micrococcales; Micrococcaceae. The record is from RNAcentral.
GCAGCGACGCCGCGUGAGGGAUGACGGCCUUCGGGUUGUAAACCUCUUUCAGUAGGGAAGAAGCGAAAGUGACGGUACCUGCAGAAGAAGCGCCGGCUAACUACGUGCCAGCAGCCGCGGUAAUACGUAGGGCGCAAGCGUUAUCCGGAAUUAUUGGGCGUAAAGAGCUCGUAGGCGGUUUGUCGCGUCUGCCGUGAAAGUCCGGGGCUCAACUCCGGAUCUGCGGUGGGUACGGGCAGACUAGAGUGAUGUAGGGGAGACUGGAAUUCCUGGUGUAGCGGUGAAAUGCGCAGAUAUCAGGAGGAACACCGAUGGCGAAGGCAGGUCUCUGGGCAUUAAC